UACGGGGGGAGCAAGCGUUGUUCGGAUUUACUGGGCGUAAAGGGCGCGUAGGCGGCCACCGCAAGUCGACUGUGAAAUCUCCGGGCUUAACUCGGAACGGUCAAGUGAUACUGUCGGACUAGAGUACAGAAGGGGCAACUGGAAUUCUCGGUGUAGCGGUGAAAUGCGUAGAUAUCGAGAGGAACACCUGCGGCGAAGGCGGGUUGCUGGGCUGAUACUGACGCUGAGGCGCGAAAGCGUGGGGAGCGAACAGG
RNAcentral lists this ribosomal RNA (254 nucleotides) under uncultured bacterium. Its description in RNAcentral is "partial 16S ribosomal RNA". It matches the Rfam family "Bacterial small subunit ribosomal RNA", at positions 524 to 776 of the family's 1533-position model. The record is from RNAcentral.